UUGGACAAUGGAGGAAACUCUGAUCCAGCCAUGCCGCGUGUGUGAAGAAGGCCUUUUGGUUGUAAAGCACUUUAAGCGAGGAGGAGGCUCUCUUGGUUAAUACCUGAGAAGAGUGGACGUUACUCGCAGAAUAAGCACCGGCUAACUCUGUGCCAGCAGCCGCGGUAAUACAGAGGGUGCGAGCGUCAAUCGGAUUUACUGGGCGUAAAGCGCGCGUAGGUGGCUAAUUAAGUCAAAUGUGAAAUCCCCGAGCUUAACUUGGGAAUUGCAUUCGAUACUGGUUAGCUAGAGUAUGGGAGAGGAUGGUAGAAUUCCAGGUGUAGCGGUGAAAUGCGUAGAGAUCUGGAGGAAUACCGAUGGCGAAGGCAGCCAUCUGGCCUAAUACUGACACUGAGGUGCGAAAGCAUGGGGAGCAAACAGGAUUAGAUACCCUGGUAGUCCAUGCCGUAAACGAUGUCUACUAGCCGUUGGGGGAUUUGAUCCUUUAGUGGCGCAGCUAACGCGAUAAGUAGACCGCCUGGGGAGUACGGUCGCAAGACUAAAACUCAAAUGAAUUGACGGGGGCCCGCACAAGCGGUGGAGCAUGUGGUUUAAUUCGAUGCAACGCGAAGAACCUUACCUGGCCUUGACAUAGUAGAAACUUUCCAGAGAUGGAUUGGUGCCUU
RNAcentral lists this ribosomal RNA (665 nucleotides) under Myroides marinus. Its description in RNAcentral is "bacterial SSU rRNA". It matches the Rfam family "Bacterial small subunit ribosomal RNA", at positions 364 to 1020 of the family's 1533-position model. Lineage: Bacteria; Pseudomonadati; Bacteroidota; Flavobacteriia; Flavobacteriales; Flavobacteriaceae. The record is from RNAcentral.